This is a long non-coding RNA of Wasmannia auropunctata (little fire ant), 496 nucleotides long. RefSeq lists it as uncharacterized. Lineage: Eukaryota; Metazoa; Arthropoda; Insecta; Hymenoptera; Formicidae. The transcript is spliced from 2 exons. The record is from RefSeq and is a predicted model, not a curated record.
UAUGUUCUAAGGGGCUAUGGCACACAAAAAAACUUAAGCAGUAAGCGAAUCGACCAAUCACAAUCGAGAAUGUAAGGUUAUAACGUAAGCAGUAGCAAAUCCAACACGUCAAAUCUGCCUACGUCUUACUGCUAAAGUUUUUUUUGUGUGCGAUGAUCCUAAGAGUUGCUCUUCAUGAUUUUUAUUUAUUUAACUUUGAGAAAAAUCGCUAACUCCGCUCCGAGAAAUGAAAUGAAGCCAAGAACCUCAGGAGAGAGGAUAAAGUAGCCAACCAACAUCUUUAACCAGUAAUGGGUGACAUUCCAAAACGUCAAAAUGUUAACCAACAUUAUUGAAUGUACACUAACACUACUUCAUGAAGCACCGUAUGUGAUUACCGGAUAAAUAUCGCGUCUGUCUUCAACUCAUCUGGUACCAAACUAUAGCAUGUUAGCGAUCUAUACAUAUAUGUAUAUUGAAAUCCGUGAUUUUUACACAUUUUAUUACAAAUCGAUAU